Ribosomal RNA from Cryptotermes secundus, 119 nucleotides. The record is from RefSeq and is a predicted model, not a curated record. NCBI's taxonomy places the organism in Eukaryota, Metazoa, Arthropoda, Insecta, Blattodea, Kalotermitidae.
AGAAACGGCCAUACCAUGUUGAAAACACCGGUUCUCGUACGAUCACCGAAGUUAAGCAGCAUUGGGCGUGGUUAGUACUUGGAUGGAUGACCGUUUGGGAACAUCAAGUGCUGUUGGUA